Molecule: ribosomal RNA, 468 nt
Filed under: uncultured bacterium
Lineage: Bacteria
Description: partial 16S ribosomal RNA
Rfam family: Bacterial small subunit ribosomal RNA
Source: RNAcentral
GACGAACGCUGGCGGCGUGCUUAACACAUGCAAGUCGAACGGAAAGGCCCUGCUUUUGUGGGGUGCUCGAGUGGCGAACGGGUGAGUAACACGUGAGUAACCUGCCCUUGACUUUGGGAUAACUUCAGGAAACUGGGGCUAAUACCGGAUAGGAGCUCCUGCUGCAUGGUGGGGGUUGGAAAGUUUCGGCGGUUGGGGAUGGACUCGCGGCUUAUCAGCUUGUUGGUGGGGUAGUGGCUUACCAAGGCUUUGACGGGUAGCCGGCCUGAGAGGGUGACCGGCCACAUUGGGACUGAGAUACGGCCCAGACUCCUACGGGAGGCAGCAGUGGGGAAUAUUGCACAAUGGGAGGAAGCCUGAUGCAGCAACGCCGCGGGCGGGAUGACGGCCUUCGGGUUGUAAACCGCUUUCGCCUGUGACGAAGCGUGAGUGACGGUAAUGGGUAAAGAAGCACCGGCUAACUACGUG